This 355-nucleotide ribosomal RNA is filed under the name uncultured bacterium. RNAcentral describes it as "bacterial SSU rRNA". It matches the Rfam family "Bacterial small subunit ribosomal RNA", at positions 1 to 334 of the family's 1533-position model. The record is from RNAcentral.
GUGAGUAGUUCAGAGUUUGAUCCUGGCUCAGGAUGAACGCUGGCGGCGUGCCUAACACAUGCAAGUCGAACGGAGAUUGCUAAGCAGAGACUUCGGUCAAAACUUUUUUAAUCUUAGUGGCGGACGGGUGAGUAACGCGUGGGUAACCUGCCUUAUACAGGGGGAUAACAAUCAGAAAUGAUUGCUAAUACCGCAUAAGCGCACAUGACCGCAUGGUCAAGUGUGAAAAACUCCGGUGGUAUAAGAUGGACCCGCGUUGGAUUAGCUAGUUGGUGAGGUAGAGGCUCACCAAGGCGACGAUCCAUAGCCGGCCUGAGAGGGUGAACGGCCACAUUGGGACUGAGACACGGCCCAG